GAUGAACGCUGGCGGCGUGCCUAAUACAUGCAAGUCGAGCGAACAGACGAGGAGCUUGCUCCUCUGACGUUAGCGGCGGACGGGUGAGUAACACGUGGAUAACCUACCUAUAAGACUGGGAUAACUUCGGGAAACCGGAGCUAAUACCGGAUAAUAUAUUGAACCGCAUGGUUCAAUAGUGAAAGACGGUUUUGCUGUCACUUAUAGAUGGAUCCGCGCCGCAUUAGCUAGUUGGUAAGGUAACGGCUUACCAAGGCAACGAUGCGUAGCCGACCUGAGAGGGUGAUCGGCCACACUGGAACUGAGACACGGUACAGACUCCUACGGGAGGCAGCAGUAGGGAAUCUUACGCAAUGGGCGAAAGCCUGACGGAGCAACGCCGCGUGAGUGAUGAAGGUCUUCGGAUCGGAAAACUCUGUUAUUAGGGAAGAACAAAUGUGUAAGUAACUAUGCACGUCUUGACGGUACCUAAUCAGAAAGCCACGGCUAACUACGUG
This 497-nucleotide ribosomal RNA is filed under the name uncultured bacterium. RNAcentral's name for it is "partial 16S ribosomal RNA". It matches the Rfam family "Bacterial small subunit ribosomal RNA", at positions 28 to 507 of the family's 1533-position model. The record is from RNAcentral.